Molecule: long non-coding RNA, 255 nt
Organism: Dreissena polymorpha
Lineage: Eukaryota; Metazoa; Mollusca; Bivalvia; Myida; Dreissenidae
Exons: 3
Source: RefSeq, a predicted model, not a curated record
AGGCAUUGACUGUCGUGGAGAAAAACAUCCAAGAUACCUUUUCAGAAAACGGGAACCACCCUUUGGUAAAGCUCGUAGCUAACGAAAAGCUGAAAUCAGCUUACAAGAAGAACAAAAGACUAGUUUCAUCGUAUACAGAAUCCGUCCUCGUCAAGGAAGCGUGUUCAGUGAUCAUGCAAGAGGUAAAGAGUAUGGUCUUUGAUUAUUUUUUGUAACAAGUAUUAUCUUACAAUAAUAUAUACGUUUUCAAAACAU